UUCCUACGGGGGGCAGCAGUCGAGAAUCUUCGGCAAUGGGCGCAAGCCUGACCGAGCGACGCCGCGUGCGGGAUGAAGGCCCUUGGGUUGUAAACCGCUGUCAGGGGGGAGCAAGGCGUAAGCUUGAGCGAGCCCCAGAGGAAGCACGGGCUAAGUUCGUGCCAGCAGCCGCGGUAAUACGAACUGUGCGAACGUUAUUCGGAAUCACUGGGCUUACAGGGUGCGUAGGCGGCCUUUCAAGUCAGGUGUGAAAUCCCCCAGCUCAACUGGGGAACUGCGCUUGAAACUGGAGGGCUGGAGGAAACUAGAGGUGCAUGGAACUUCCGGUGGAGCGGUGAAAUGUGUUGAUAUCGGAAGGAACACCAGAGGCGAAAGCGAUGCACUGGGGUUGUUCUGACGCUGAGGCACGAAAGCCAGGGAAGCGAACGGGAUUAGAUACCCCAGUAGUCCUC
RNAcentral lists this ribosomal RNA (452 nucleotides) under uncultured Planctomyces sp. RNAcentral describes it as "bacterial SSU rRNA". It matches the Rfam family "Bacterial small subunit ribosomal RNA", at positions 336 to 798 of the family's 1533-position model. Lineage: Bacteria; Pseudomonadati; Planctomycetota; Planctomycetia; Planctomycetales; Planctomycetaceae. The record is from RNAcentral.